GAUGAACGCUGGCGGCGUGCCUAAUACAUGCAAGUCGAACGCGAGCACUUGUGCUCGAGUGGCGAACGGGUGAGUAAUACAUAAGUAACCUGCCCUAGACAGGGGGAUAACUAUUGGAAACGAUAGCUAAGACCGCAUAGGUACGGACACUGCAUGGUGACCGUAUUAAAAGUGCCUCAAAGCACUGGUAGAGGAUGGGCUUAUGGCGCAUUAGCUGGUUGGCGGGGUAACGGCCCACCAAGGCGACGAUGCGUAGCCGACCUGAGAGGGUGACCGGCCACACUGGGACUGAGACACGGCCCAGACUCCUACGGGAGGCAGCAGUAGGGAAUUUUCGGCAAUGGGGGAAACCCUGACCGAGCAACGCCGCGUGAAGGAAGAAGGUUUUCGGAUUGUAAACUUCUGUUAUAAAGGAAGAACGGCGGCUACAGGAAAUGGUAGCCGAGUGACGGUACUUUAUUAGAAAGCCACGGCUAACUACGUGCCAGCAGCCGCGGUAAUACGUAGGUGGCAAGCGUUAUCCGGAAUUAUUGGGCGUAAAGAGGGAGCAGGCGGCAGCAAGGGUCUGUGGUGAAAGCCUGAAGCUUAACUUCAGUAAGCCAUAGAAACCAGGCAGCUAGAGUGCAGGAGAGGAUCGUGGAAUUCCAUAUGUAGCGGUGAAAUGCGUAGAUAUAUGGAGGAACACCAGUGGCGAAGGCGACGAUCUGGCCUGCAACUGACGCUCAGUCCCGAAAGCGUGGGGAGCAAAUAGGAUUAGAUACCCUAGUAGUCCACGCCGUAAACGAUGAGUACUAAGUGUUGGAUGUCAAAGUUCAGUGCUGCAGUUAACGCAAUAAG
This 837-nucleotide ribosomal RNA is filed under the name uncultured bacterium. RNAcentral's name for it is "bacterial SSU rRNA". It matches the Rfam family "Bacterial small subunit ribosomal RNA", at positions 28 to 864 of the family's 1533-position model. The record is from RNAcentral.